GAUCAUGGCUCAGAUUGAACGCUGGCGGCAUGCCUUACGCAUGCAAGUCGAACGGCAGCACGGGAGCAAUCCUGGCGGCGAGUGGCGAACGGGUGAGUAAUACAUCGGAACGUACCCAGAAGGUGGGGGAUAACGUAGCGAAAGUUACGCUAAUACCGCAUACGUUCUACGGAAGAAAGUGGGGGAUCGCAAGACCUCAUGCUUUUGGAGCGGCCGAUGUCUGAUUAGCUAGUUGGUGAGGUAAAGGCUCACCAAGGCGACGAUCAGUAGCUGGUCUGAGAGGACGACCAGCCACACUGGAACUGAGACACGGUCCAGACUCCGUACGGGAGGCAGCAGGUGGGGUAAUUUUGGACAAUGGGGGCAACCCUGAUCCAGCAAUGCCGCGUGAGUGAAGAAGGCCUUCGGGUUGUAAAGCUCUUUUGUCAGGGAAGAAACGGUUUUGGAUAAUACCCAAGGCUAAUGACGGUACCUGAAGAGUAAGCACCGACUAACUACGUG
RNAcentral lists this ribosomal RNA (501 nucleotides) under uncultured bacterium. RNAcentral describes it as "bacterial SSU rRNA". It matches the Rfam family "Bacterial small subunit ribosomal RNA", at positions 15 to 507 of the family's 1533-position model. The record is from RNAcentral.